RNA transcript from Daphnia magna, 1474 nucleotides. RefSeq lists it as uncharacterized. Lineage: Eukaryota; Metazoa; Arthropoda; Branchiopoda; Diplostraca; Daphniidae. The transcript is spliced from 8 exons. The record is from RefSeq and is a predicted model, not a curated record.
GUAGCUACAGGUUAUUGAGUUCCUCUUGACCCUGGUGUGCAAUUGUGGAUUUUGUGGUUCAGCUGUCUUGAGUUGUGCCAUAAGUUCCGGUGCUCAGUGCAGUCUUGACAGAAACACCAGGAAAAUACCAGAUAUUACACAUAAUGAAACGUCAAUGCAACAAAACAAAAGUGGACUUUAAAGGAUAUGCAGGUCAGUUUGACGAUGGAUCUGAGCUACCCUUUGGAAUCGAAAUCAAACGUUUUUUAUGAAAGUGUACUAUCGAAAGUGAUGAAACGAACAGAUACAGUCAUUUACUGUCCUUCGAACGAAACGGAUUCAGCAGCCGGCAUUCAAAAGGUGGAAAUCGUUGGAUCGUUGGCCGCCGUUGAAUCUGCUCGUCUAUUCAUACGGGAUUAUGUACCGAUUGAAUUUGUCACCAGCUGUAGAUCUGAUCGAGUCGAUUCUCUCGGGAUACACCUUCUUGUAGCUCAUUUUUCCUCUACGUUCGGGGUUAAGAUGGUUUUUAAACUUGUUGAAGAAGAUUCUAGUUACCAGGUGAAUAUCCGUGGUCAUCAAUAUCGAUUUGAGCUGCUAAGGGAAGCAGUACACCAUUUCUGCCACAUCGUUCAAACUCCCUCGGAAUCAGUGGAAAUGGAUUUAGGGUCGUCUUCUUUUACAUCGCAGACUCGUACGCAACUGCACUCAGCUAAUAGAGGAAAAAUCGGGAGCUCGUAUUUGCUGCCCAGUUGACGGCAAUUCAGUCUUAGUAAGAGGAUCACUAGAAUCCGCAUAUUUUGCCAGUGAAAUGAUAGCGGGCGUGACUCCAUUGCAUUUAAAGUUCCAGUGCCCAUCGUCUGUGGAGAUGAAUGAACGCAUUCGAUCGAUCGCCCGUCAAAUGGAUAUCUCCGUUUCCACUGACAAAACAGAUCCAGGCUUCGAUGAGCUUAAUUUAUCUACAUGUGAAUGGAAUACUCGUCACCUUUAUGAACUUUGGCGUCUACGUCGAGGUUUGCACUUAAGUUUUUCCAUUUUGCCAACACAGCGCCACCUGUGGUCGCAUUUAGUAGAAUUACCCCACAGCUUCUUCAGGAAAGUGAACUCCAAAAUUUUCGGGCCUCAACGUGAAGAGCUAGCCCUAGAAGGGCAUAGGACAUCUUGUGAUGAAACUUUAAACUUAAGACGCAUUUGAGGCAAGUUACACUGGGCCGAUGGACGAACAAUUUGGUUUCUACCUCAAGUUCAAGGCCCAGUUCACAAACCUGUGCUUCGUGCAUUUUUUUAAAUUUCCAAGCGUGCCUUUCAAUGUGUUCAGCAACGUCCGUACAGCUUUAAUACCCUAUGUUAAAACCAAUAUCCAUAUCGAGCUUCGAACGAGAAAGAAACAAAUUCCGUUCCUUUUUCAUUUUGUUCAAAAAUAUAACGGAAGGUUUGUUUCUCCAAAUAAAAUUUACUUACCAAGAAAGUUUUGAUAAAAUAAAAUGAUGAAAAUAAA